AUUUCUCCUCCAAGGGGGCUGAGAUUGUAAGGUACUUCUUCCACCCAAGUCAUCAUAGCAGCAUUGCUGCAGCGGAGCUGGGUGGGUAACUGCUACCUUUCCUGAGCAAGAGGGCAGGGAGCUGUGGUGAAACCCUGGUGACACUUGGGCGUCACCUCAAGGGCAUGCUGAGGUCCUUGUGGUUUUGCCUGUCCUGCCGGGGUCUCUCCAGAAGUGGUCUGCGGUCUGCAUGCUGGGAAGCGGCACCCUCCGGGUGCAGGGCUGUUGUAUGAGAGUCUCUUCCUGUGCAGAAAUCCAGCUCCUCUGAGCAACCCUCAGUCAGCCCCCUGACUAGCGUGGAGAUGGAGGAGUUCACCAGCCCUGACCUCCUGGAGAUAAUGAUGAAGGAUUGCGAAGAGACUGUAGAAGAGCACCUCACUGUCCACAAGGAUGACACUGUCCCCCCUAAGCGGAGCCUUUCCCCACGGACACACCAGACUCUGUUGGAGGUGGUGACAUGCAUCCUGGCGAAGGUCACCCGCGAGCGCAGGAGACAGAG
RNAcentral lists this long non-coding RNA (538 nucleotides) under Calidris pugnax (ruff). RNAcentral describes it as "lncRNA (ENSCPUG00000011270.1)". Lineage: Eukaryota; Metazoa; Chordata; Aves; Charadriiformes; Scolopacidae. The record is from RNAcentral.